Molecule: ribosomal RNA, 497 nt
Filed under: uncultured bacterium
Lineage: Bacteria
Description: partial 16S ribosomal RNA
Rfam family: Bacterial small subunit ribosomal RNA
Source: RNAcentral
GAUGAACGCUGGCGGCGUGCCUAAUACAUGCAAGUCGAGCGAACAGACGAGGAGCUUGCUCCUUUGACGUUAGCGGCGGACGGGUGAGUAACACGUGGAUAACCCACCUAUAAGACUGGGAUAACCUCGGGAAACCGGAGCUAAUACCGGAUAAUAUAUUGAACCGCAUGGUUCAAUAGUGAAAGACGGUUUUGCUGUAACUUAUAGAUGGAUCUGCGCCGCAUUAGCUAGUUGGUAAGGUAAAAGCUUAUCAAGGCAACGAUGCGUAGGCGACCUGAGAGGGUGAUCGGCCACACUGGAACUGAGACGCCGUCCAGACUCCUACGGGACGCAGCAGUAGGGAAUCUGCCGCAAUGGGCGAGAGCCUGACGGAGCAACGCGGCGUGAGUGAUGAAAGUCUUCCGAUCGUAAAGCUCGGUUAUUAGGGAAGAACAAAUGUCUAAGUAACUAUACACGUCUUGACGGUACCUAAUCAGAAAGCCACGGCUAACUACGUG